GAUGGUUGAAAAGUAAAACAAGACUGAAGUUUGAAUGGACACACAAAGGCAUAUUCAUACAACACAAAGGCUUUUGUGCCAUGAUGUCAGAGCAAAGAAUGAUGGCUGAUGAAAUCAGAAGGUGCAGAAAGAAAGAAAACAAAGAGGAGAACAGGUGGAUCAAAACAAAAGAGUGACUCAAGCAGUAAAUCACCUUCUGAUCCAAGAAUACAGCACAUUAUAUGAGAAUUUCUGAUGGAUAUAUGAGACCGUGUCAUAUUUCAACCAUCGAGCGAGAAGAAGCAGAUUCAUUACACGUGUUGGUGUCGAAAGGUAUUGGGAAAAGGUGAAGUUGGGACAGUGGGAAGGAAAAACCUCCAGAAGAAGAAACCUCCAGCUGAACAGGUUGCGGUUGAGGCAGUGCAUUAUGAAUAAUAC
This is a long non-coding RNA of Astatotilapia calliptera (eastern happy), 417 nucleotides long. The record is from Ensembl. NCBI's taxonomy places the organism in Eukaryota, Metazoa, Chordata, Actinopteri, Cichliformes, Cichlidae.